RNAcentral lists this ribosomal RNA (240 nucleotides) under uncultured Lactobacillus sp. RNAcentral's name for it is "partial 16S ribosomal RNA". It matches the Rfam family "Bacterial small subunit ribosomal RNA", at positions 122 to 356 of the family's 1533-position model. Lineage: Bacteria; Bacillati; Bacillota; Bacilli; Lactobacillales; Lactobacillaceae. The record is from RNAcentral.
UAACCUGCCCAAGAGAUCGGGAUAACACCUGGAAACAGAUGCUAAUACCGGAUAACAACAGAUGAUGCCUAUCAACUGUUUAAAAGAUGGUUCUGCUAUCACUCUUGGAUGGACCUGCGGUGCAUUAGCUAGUUGGUAGGGUAACGGCCUACCAAGGCGAUGAUGCAUAGCCGAGUUGAGAGACUGAUCGGCCACAUUGGGACUGAGACGCGGCCCAAACUCCUACGGGAGGCAGCAGUG